RNAcentral lists this ribosomal RNA (395 nucleotides) under uncultured bacterium. RNAcentral describes it as "bacterial SSU rRNA". It matches the Rfam family "Bacterial small subunit ribosomal RNA", at positions 505 to 898 of the family's 1533-position model. The record is from RNAcentral.
GUGUCAGCAGCCGCGGUAAUACGUAGGGGGCAAGCGUUGUCCGGAAUUAUUGGGCGUAAAGGGUGCGUAGGCGGCCUUUUAAGUCAGAUGUGAAAGCCCACGGCUUAACCGUGGGAUUGCAUUUGAAACUGGAGGGCUUGAGUAUCGGAGAGGGUAGUGGAAUUCCCAGUGUAGCGGUGAAAUGCGUAGAUAUUGGGAGGAACACCAGUGGCGAAGGCGACUACCUGGACGAAAACUGACGCUGAUGCACGAAAGCUAGGGGAGCAAACAGGAUUAGAUACCCUGGUAGUCCUAGCCGUAAACGAUGGGUACUAGGUGUAGGGGGUUUCGAUACCCUCUGUGCCGGAGUUAACGCAUUAAGUACCCCGCCUGGGGAGUACGUGCGCAAGCAUGAA